GUUUAGCUCUCAUAAUCAGUUAUAAAGAAUUGCUAUUUGCAGUCUUGCUUUUUGAUUCAAAAUGAGACUCAGAGCAAUGAAUUGCAAAUAAGAAUUCGAUUCAGACAAAGACAAUUCAAGAUGUGAUCCUUGAUCCUUUGUGAUAUCCAGAGCCCAACACCAAGUAGAAGCCUGUUUCCAGAAGCAUCUUGUUGAGGACGCCCUCGACAGCAAAAUUGAAGCCAAAGGAUCUGUCGAUUGUCGGCACCUCUAUCUCAUGACCACAAUUGUCUACAUAAUGAGAAACAAGCCAAGAACAAACUCAGCAGAUUAACUAAACAAAUUAGGCUAUAGAAAAAACGUAAAAAAAGUGUUUGUUGAAUAAGUGCAAGCUUUUACUUAGCAUUUUCUCAAAGGAUCUGGGUUGCAGGAA
Molecule: non-coding RNA, 412 nt
Organism: Salvia hispanica
Lineage: Eukaryota; Viridiplantae; Streptophyta; Magnoliopsida; Lamiales; Lamiaceae
Source: RefSeq, a predicted model, not a curated record